UCUGGAGUCAUGCAGCCGGAGCGAAAGCGAGUCUGAACAGGGCGCAUAGUCAGUAGGAGUAGACGCGAAACUUUGUGAUCUACCCUUGGUCAGGAUGAAGUUCCGGUAACACGGGAUGGAGGUCCGAACUAGUAAACGUUGAAAAGUUUUUGGAUGAACUGAGGGUAGGGGUGAAAGGCUAAUCAAACUGAGAAAUAGCUCGUACUCCCCGAAAUGUUUUUAGGAACAGCGUGAGAGUUAAGUUUAUCAGAGGUAGAGCUACCAAUUGGACUAGGGGGAGUCAUAUCCUACCAAAUCCAGAUGAACUCCGAAUGCUGAUAAAUAUAUCUUGCAGUGAGGGCGCGGGUGCUAAGGUCCGUGUCCGAGAGGGAAAGAACCCAGACCAACAGCUAAGGUCCCAAAAUCUACACUAAGUUGAGCUAAGGAGGUCCAGUUGCUGAGACAGCCAGGAUGUUUGCUUGGAAGCAGCAAUUCAUUUAAAGAGUGCGUAACAGCUCACUGGUCGAGCGACAGGGCAUCGAUAAUAAUCGGGCAUCAAGUGUAGUACCGAAGCUUUGGAUUUUAUAGCAAUAUAAACUGGUAGGGGAGCAUUCUAUAUGCGGCGAAGGUCUGAGGACAACUCAGGGUGGAGCGUAUAGAAAAGCAAAUGUAGGCAUAAGUAACGAUAAGGCAGGUGAGAAACCUGCCCACCGAAAGACUAAGGGUUCCGCGGCAAUGUUAAUCAUCCGCGGGUAAGUCGGGACCUAAGGAAAAGCCGAAAGGUGUAUUCGAUGGACAACUGGUUAAUAUUCCAGUACUACCAUAUUGAGCGAUGAGGUGACGGAGUAGUGAUAGCUGCGCGUGCUGACGGAAUAGCACGUUGAAAGGUGUAGGUAUAGGACUUGUAGGAAAAUCCGCAGGUUUUGCUGAAACCCAAUAGUACGAGGAGGCUUCGGCCAAAUUGAUAGACAGUGUAAGCAGACUUCCAAGAAAACCCUCUAAGCAUAUUGAUAUGGUACUCGUACCGUAAACCGACACAGGUAGUCGAGAAGAAGAUUCUAAGGUGCUCGAGUGAAUCUCGGCUAAGGAACUCGGCAAAUUAACCCUGUAACUUCGGGAGAAGGGGUGCCUCCAGCAAUGGAGGUCGCAGAGAAAUGGCCCAGGCGACUGUUUAACAAAAACACAUGGCUAUGCGAAAUCGCAAGAUGAAGUAUAUGGCCUGACACCUGCCCGGUGCUGGAAGGUUAAGGGGGGAAGUUAGUGCGCAAGUGCGAAGCUUUGAACUGAGGCCCCAGUAAACGGCGGCCGUAACUAUAACGGUCCUAAGGUAGCGAAAUUCCUUGUCGGGUAAGUUCCGACCUGCACGAAUGGUGUAACGAUCUGGGCGCUGUCUCAGCCAUGAGCUCGGUGAAAUUGUAGUCACGGCGAAAAAAG
Molecule: ribosomal RNA, 1413 nt
Filed under: metagenome
Description: bacterial LSU rRNA
Rfam family: Bacterial large subunit ribosomal RNA
Source: RNAcentral